GAUUCUUCGGAUGAUUGAUUGGUGACUGAGUGGCGGACGGGUGAGUAACGCGUGGGUCACCUGCCCUGUACAGGGGGAUAACAGUUGGAAACGGCUGCUAAUACCGCAUAAGCGCACGAGAGGACGUCCUCUUGUGUGAAAAACUCCGGUGGUACAGGCUGGGCCCGCGUCUGAUUAGCUGGUUGGCAGGGUAACGGCCUACCAAGGCGACGAUCAGUAGCCGGUCUGAGAGGAUGAACGGCCACAUUGGAACUGAGACACGGUCCAAACUCCUACGGGAGGCAGCAGUGGGGAAUAUUGCACAAUGGGGGAAACCCUGAUGCAGCAACGCCGCGUGAGUGAAGAAGUAUUUCGGUAUGUAAAGCUCUAUCAGCAGGGAAGAUAAUGACGGUACCUGACUAAGAAGCUCCGGCUAAAUACGUGCCAGCAGCCGCGGUAAUACGUAUGGAGCAAGCGUUAUCCGGAUUUACUGGGUGUAAAGGGUGCGUAGGUGGCAGUGCAAGUCAGAUGUGAAAGGCCGGGGCUCAACCCCGGAGCUGCAUUUGAAACUGCAUAGCUAGAGUACAGGAGAGGCAGGCGGAAUUCCUAGUGUAGCGGUGAAAUGCGUAGAUAUUAGGAGGAACACCAGUGGCGAAGGCGGCCUGCUGGACUGUUACUGACAC
RNAcentral lists this ribosomal RNA (662 nucleotides) under uncultured Lachnospiraceae bacterium. Its description in RNAcentral is "bacterial SSU rRNA". It matches the Rfam family "Bacterial small subunit ribosomal RNA", at positions 70 to 746 of the family's 1533-position model. Lineage: Bacteria; Bacillati; Bacillota; Clostridia; Lachnospirales; Lachnospiraceae. The record is from RNAcentral.